GACGAACGCUGGCGGCGUGCCUAAUACAUGCAAGUAGAACGCUGAAGAGAGGAGCUUACUCUUCUUGGAUGAGUUGCGAACGGGUGAGUAACGCGUAGGUAACCUGCCUUGUAGCGGGGGAUAACUAUUGGAAACGAUAGCUAAUACCGCAUAACAAUGGAUGACACAUGUCAUUUAUUUGAAAGGGGCAAUUGCUCCACUACAAGAUGGACCUGCGUUGUAUUAGCUAGUGGGUGAGGUAAUGGCUCACCUAGGCGACGAUACAUAGCCGACCUGAGAGGGUGAUCGGCCACACUGGGACUGAGACACGGCCCAGACUCCUACGGGAGGCAGCAGUAGGGAAUCUUCGGCAAUGGGGGCAACCCUGACCGAGCAACGCCGCGUGAGUGAAGAAGGUUGUCGGAUCGUAAAGCUCUGUUGUAAGUCAAGAACGGGUGUGAGAGUGGAAAGUUCACACUGUGACGGUAGCUUACCAGAAAGGGACGGCUAACUACGUG
This 497-nucleotide ribosomal RNA is filed under the name uncultured bacterium. RNAcentral's name for it is "partial 16S ribosomal RNA". It matches the Rfam family "Bacterial small subunit ribosomal RNA", at positions 28 to 507 of the family's 1533-position model. The record is from RNAcentral.